Dromaius novaehollandiae (emu) is the source of this 2276-nucleotide long non-coding RNA. RefSeq lists it as uncharacterized. Lineage: Eukaryota; Metazoa; Chordata; Aves; Casuariiformes; Dromaiidae. The transcript is spliced from 2 exons. The record is from RefSeq and is a predicted model, not a curated record.
GCCUCUGCACCGGCCCGGCCUCCGGCUCCGCCAGGCUGCCGCCGCGGAGGGGCCCCGGCCCGGCCCGGCCCGGCGCGGGGGGCGGCGGGGUGCUGCGCACAGCCCUGCGGGGCCGGCCGCCUUCGCCCCCGCUCGAGCCGCGCUCUCCAGAAAGUGCCCGGGACCGACCCGUCUGUGCGAGCGAGGAACGGCACUGCCGUGCUAACCGCCACUCCUCGAGGCUGGCGAUAAAACAGGGGCCAGGUGGUAGUGAACGGACUCGGCUGAGGCUGCGCGAGGGACGCGGGCAGGAGCCCGACGUCCACGUUCGCUAACCCGGUGAACCUUCACGGAGAAGCGGCCGAGGCUGCUGGCCCAUGACCCCGCCGUCACCUUCCCUGCAGUGACUUGGGGAGCGGUGACUGGUGCGGGGUGGAGAUGGAAACGCCCCAGUUAUUUCCAGCCUGCCAGGAAGAUACGAAACCGAGAGAAGCUGUUGUGGUGUCACCCGUCGGACUGAAGCCGUUGUGUCUUGGAAGGAUCUUGGGUCUCAGGUUGCCUAGUCUGAUUUCUAAACCAGACCAACCUGGGUCGCUGUAGCUGCAGACUCCCUCCUGGGCUUCCAGUGCCGCUGGGGCACCGUGUGCCACGUCGCCGACCGCCCGGCUCCCCGGCAUCCGCUGCGUUGCGCCGGCUCGCCGCCACCGCCUUCGCUGUUCACCGCUGCCCGCAGCUGGGCGCUUGAGGCCAAGCUAAAAGCACAAGCCGUGACGACCGCUGUGCCUGGGCUUGAGCUGCUGACAGCCUAGGCUGCGCUUCUUUGAGCUGUGGUUAAUCCGAUGAUUCAAAAUCAAACCAACUGUUGUUGACGCGGUAUUUGUAAAGCACCUAAGUUACCGUGCUGUGCAUGUACAAACUGUCUCAGCAGGAGAUACUUCCUCAAAUUUUCCACAUAUUUUCCUCACACUAACUGCUGAAUAACAGCUAUUUAUAAGAGAGACGUUGAAUGCUGAAUAACAGUGUGUGCAGGUGUUCUUGGUUUUUUCACUAACUUCUUCCACUCCAAAUUCUUACAAUGGCCCCUUGUUGCACCCUCUUCUGUCCUGUCCCUGCGACUCUCUUGCUCCCCUCAGUCCCUCCUCGCCGCUCUCGGUGGCGGCGUGGAUGAAGCAGAGCAGCUCUGAGGCUGCGCUGAGCUACUCUUGGGGAGCAGAGUGGCAAGUGGUCUAACAUCCCCUGGUGAUUUAAACAGAGCCGGAUGGUCAGCAGUUGAAGAAGCCAUCUGGCCUCGAUGCCUUUCCGGUGGCCGGAGGACACCUGGUAUGGAGAACUGCUGAUGUUCCUUGUAAUGCGGUUAAAAAUGUGUCAUCAGCAGGGGGAAUUGCAGGUUUCGGUGUUGUCGCUGUUCCUCGGGGACUUUUAUGGAUGGACAGGAGUCCUGUCAAGCACCAGAAAGCAGCAAUGGCCUUUUGUCUGUUACGAUUAGUGCUUUAAGGAAAAUUCCUGGCCAGUUAUUUUGGGAGCCUAAAUUAGAUCUGAAUGGUCACUGUAAACCUGGCAUCAUUUGUGUUGGCUUUUACCUGCAUAACUAAGCUGUUCCUCAGUCUGGUAACACUCUGCCAAGAUAAACCACGGGCAGGUAGCAGCUCACGGCUCUGGCGCGCUGCUUCGUGAUUUAGAGGCAGAAAGGGAACAGAGGGCGUUCGGGGCUGCGUUGGCUUUGGCGGAGGGGAGCACAAGUUCAGGGACCGAGUGCGUAAUUUGCACAGGGGUGGAAGGGCUGCUAGGAAACAUGGCAGGGCUCCCCUGUUAUUUCCAGCAUUGUCGACAAUGAGUAGUAGUUGACAAUGAUUGUAAAAGAAACAUUGUUACAGAGAUGUACCAGAGAUGGGAGGAAAGAGCAGCCGUUCAUCUUCACAUUUCUUAUUUUUCUGUAGGUGGCAGAUGCACUUGUUCCUGGGCUUAUCUGGAUUAGGCCACUGUCAACUUUCAAAUGCUCCGCACCUUCACUUUUGUUUUCGGCAGCAUUCAUCUGAUACCUACUAACGCAUGUAAAGCAGGAAGAUGCACUAUAAAAGAAAUCUCACUGAAAUGAACAGCAUCAUAAACCAGGGAAUAUAUCACCUAUGUGAAACACUGCAACAGACUUCAAAACGAGACACCCACGUACCUUUGUAUCCUGAGAAACAGCGUACUCUAUCAGCUCAGCUCCAUCUGCAGACUGGUAAACGAGAUCAAAUUUCCCUGGUUCUUUAGCCACUUAAAAGUAAAAAAAAAAAAAAAAAAGAAAAAAAAAA